AAGCGAAACCGCCCUGCGGGGCGGUAGCCCGGCGGUGGCGCGCCGGGCCUGAC
RNAcentral lists this non-coding RNA (53 nucleotides) under Desulfovibrio sp. The record is from RNAcentral. Lineage: Bacteria; Pseudomonadati; Thermodesulfobacteriota; Desulfovibrionia; Desulfovibrionales; Desulfovibrionaceae.